AUUGAACGCUGGCGGCAGGCCUAACACAUGCAAGUCGAAUGGUAACAGGAAACAGCUUGCUGUUUCGCUGACGAGUGGCGGACGGGUGAGUAAUGUCUGGGAAACUGCCUGAUGGAGGGGGAUAACUACUGGAAACGGUAGCUAAUACCGCAUAACGUCGCAAGACCAGAGAGGGGGACCUUCGGGCCUCUUGCCAUCAGAUGUGCCCAGAUGGGAUUAGCUAGUAGGUGGGGUAACGGCUCACCUAGGCGACGAUCCCUAGCUGGUCUGAGAGGAUGACCAGCCACACUGGAACUGAGACACGGUCCAGACUCCUACGGGAGGCAGCAGUGGGGAAUAUUGCACAAUGGGCGCAAGCCUGAUGCAGCCAUGCCGCGUGUAUGAAGAAGGCCUUCGGGUUGUAAAGUACUUUCAGCGGGGAGGAAGGGAGUAAAGUUAAUACCUUUGCUCAUUGACGUUACCCGCAGAGGAAGCACCGGCUAACUCCGUG
This 490-nucleotide ribosomal RNA is filed under the name uncultured bacterium. RNAcentral describes it as "partial 16S ribosomal RNA". It matches the Rfam family "Bacterial small subunit ribosomal RNA", at positions 30 to 507 of the family's 1533-position model. The record is from RNAcentral.